This 508-nucleotide ribosomal RNA is filed under the name uncultured bacterium. Its description in RNAcentral is "partial 16S ribosomal RNA". The record is from RNAcentral.
GGAGUUAGCCGGUUCUUCUUCUGUGAGUGAUGUCCUUCCUGCCGGCUAUUAACCCGCAGGCCUUCUUCCUCACUGAAAGUGCUUUACAACCCGAAGGCCUUCUUCACACACGCGGCAUGGCUGGAUCAGGGUUGCCCCCAUUGUCCAAUAUUCCCCACUGCUGCCUCCCGUAGGAGUCUGGGCCGUGUCUCAGUCCCAGUGUGGCUGAUCAUCCUCUCAGACCAGCUACGGAUCGUCGCCUUGGUGAGCCGUUACCUCACCAACCAGCUAAUCCGACAUAGGCUCAUCCGAUAGCGCGAGGCCCGAAGGUCCCCCGCUUUCCCCCGUAGGGCGUAUGCGGUAUUAGCCUGGGUUUCCCCCAGGUUAUCCCCCACUACCGGGCAGAUUCCUAUGCAUUACUCACCCGUCCGCCGCUCGCCACCAGGGAGCAAGCUCCCCGUGCUGCCGCUCGACUUGCAUGUGUUAGGCCUGCCGCCAGCGUUCAAUCUGAGCCAUAAUCAAACUCUGA